This 183-nucleotide ribosomal RNA is filed under the name Flammeovirgaceae bacterium. RNAcentral describes it as "partial 16S ribosomal RNA". It matches the Rfam family "Bacterial small subunit ribosomal RNA", at positions 1 to 181 of the family's 1533-position model. Lineage: Bacteria; Pseudomonadati; Bacteroidota; Cytophagia; Cytophagales; Flammeovirgaceae. The record is from RNAcentral.
UUACUAUGGAGAGUUUGAUCCUGGCUCAGGAAGAACGCUAGCGGCAGGCCUUAUACAUGCAAGUCGAGGGGCAGCAUUUACUUCGGUAAAUGGCGACCGGCGCACGGGUGAGUAACGCGUAUGCAACCUACCUUUAACUGGGGCAUAGCUCGAGGAAACUCGAAUUAAUUCCCCAUAGUACAA